RNAcentral lists this ribosomal RNA (2889 nucleotides) under Pseudomonas savastanoi pv. phaseolicola. Its description in RNAcentral is "23S ribosomal RNA". It matches the Rfam family "Bacterial large subunit ribosomal RNA". Lineage: Bacteria; Pseudomonadati; Pseudomonadota; Gammaproteobacteria; Pseudomonadales; Pseudomonadaceae. The record is from RNAcentral.
UCAAGUGAAGAAGCGCAUACGGUGGAUGCCUUGGCAGUCAGAGGCGAUGAAAGACGUGGUAGCCUGCGAAAAGCUUCGGGGAGUCGGCAAACAGACUGUGAUCCGGAGAUGUCUGAAUGGGGGAACCCAGCCAUCAUAAGAUGGUUAUCUUGUACUGAAUACAUAGGUGCAAGAGGCGAACCAGGGGAACUGAAACAUCUAAGUACCCUGAGGAAAAGAAAUCAACCGAGAUUCCCUUAGUAGUGGCGAGCGAACGGGGACCAGCCCUUAAGUUGUAUUGAGAUUAGCGGAACGUUCUGGAAAGGACGGCCAUAGUGGGUGAUAGCCCUGUACGCGAAAAUCCCUUUGCAAUGAAAUCGAGUAGGACGGGGCACGAGAAACCUUGUCUGAAUAUGGGGGGACCAUCCUCCAAGGCUAAAUACUACUGACUGACCGAUAGUGAACCAGUACCGUGAGGGAAAGGCGAAAAGAACCGCGGAGAGCGGAGUGAAAUAGAUCCUGAAACCGUAUGCGUACAAGCAGUGGGAGCCCACUUGUUGGGUGACUGCGUACCUUUUGUAUAAUGGGUCAGCGACUUAUUUUCAGUGGCGAGCUUAACCGAAUAGGGGAGGCGUAGCGAAAGCGAGUCUUAAUAGGGCGUCUAGUCGCUGGGAAUAGACCCGAAACCGGGCGAUCUAUCCAUGGGCAGGUUGAAGGUUGGGUAACACUAACUGGAGGACCGAACCGACUACCGUUGAAAAGUUAGCGGAUGACCUGUGGAUCGGAGUGAAAGGCUAAUCAAGCUCGGAGAUAGCUGGUUCUCCUCGAAAGCUAUUUAGGUAGCGCCUCAUGUAUCACUGUAGGGGGUAGAGCACUGUUUCGGCUAGGGGGUCAUCCCGACUUACCAAACCGAUGCAAACUCCGAAUACCUACAAGUGCCGAGCAUGGGAGACACACGGCGGGUGCUAACGUCCGUCGUGAAAAGGGAAACAACCCAGACCGUCAGCUAAGGUCCCAAAGUCAUGGUUAAGUGGGAAACGAUGUGGGAAGGCUUAGACAGCUAGGAGGUUGGCUUAGAAGCAGCCACCCUUUAAAGAAAGCGUAAUAGCUCACUAGUCGAGUCGGCCUGCGCGGAAGAUGUAACGGGGCUCAAACCAUGCACCGAAGCUACGGGUAUCAUCUUUUGAUGAUGCGGUAGAGGAGCGUUCUGUAAGCCUGUGAAGGUGAGUUGAGAAGCUUGCUGGAGGUAUCAGAAGUGCGAAUGCUGACAUGAGUAACGACAAUGGGUGUGAAAAACACCCACGCCGAAAGACCAAGGUUUCCUGCGCAACGUUAAUCGACGCAGGGUUAGUCGGCCCCUAAGGCGAGGCUGAAAAGCGUAGUCGAUGGAAAACAGGUUAAUAUUCCUGUACUUCUGGUUAUUGCGAUGGAGGGACGGAGAAGGCUAGGCCAGCCUGGCGUUGGUUGUCCAGGUUUAAGGUGGUAGGCUGAGAUCUUAGGUAAAUCCGGGAUUUCAAGGCCGAGAGCUGAUGACGAGUGUUCUUUAGAACACGAAGUGGUUGAUGCCAUGCUUCCAAGAAAAGCUUCUAAGCUUCAGGUAACCAGGAACCGUACCCCAAACCGACACAGGUGGUUGGGUAGAGAAUACCAAGGCGCUUGAGAGAACUCGGGUGAAGGAACUAGGCAAAAUGGCACCGUAACUUCGGGAGAAGGUGCGCCGGUGAGGGUGAAGCAUUUACUGCGUAAGCCCACGCCGGUCGAAGAUACCAGGCCGCUGCGACUGUUUAUUAAAAACACAGCACUCUGCAAACACGAAAGUGGACGUAUAGGGUGUGACGCCUGCCCGGUGCCGGAAGGUUAAUUGAUGGGGUUAGCGCAAGCGAAGCUCUUGAUCGAAGCCCCGGUAAACGGCGGCCGUAACUAUAACGGUCCUAAGGUAGCGAAAUUCCUUGUCGGGUAAGUUCCGACCUGCACGAAUGGCGUAACGAUGGCGGCGCUGUCUCCACCCGAGACUCAGUGAAAUUGAAAUCGCUGUGAAGAUGCAGUGUAUCCGCGGCUAGACGGAAAGACCCCGUGAACCUUUACUAUAGCUUUGCACUGGACUUUGAAUUUGCUUGUGUAGGAUAGGUGGGAGGCUUUGAAGCGUGGACGCCAGUCUGCGUGGAGCCAACCUUGAAAUACCACCCUGGCAACUUUGAGGUUCUAACUCAGGUCCGUUAUCCGGAUCGAGGACAGUGUAUGGUGGGUAGUUUGACUGGGGCGGUCUCCUCCUAAAGAGUAACGGAGGAGUACGAAGGUGCGCUCAGACCGGUCGGAAAUCGGUCGUAGAGUAUAAAGGCAAAAGCGCGCUUGACUGCGAGACAGACACGUCGAGCAGGUACGAAAGUAGGUCUUAGUGAUCCGGUGGUUCUGUAUGGAAGGGCCAUCGCUCAACGGAUAAAAGGUACUCCGGGGAUAACAGGCUGAUACCGCCCAAGAGUUCAUAUCGACGGCGGUGUUUGGCACCUCGAUGUCGGCUCAUCACAUCCUGGGGCUGAAGCCGGUCCCAAGGGUAUGGCUGUUCGCCAUUUAAAGUGGUACGCGAGCUGGGUUUAGAACGUCGUGAGACAGUUCGGUCCCUAUCUGCCGUGGACGUUUGAGAUUUGAGAGGGGCUGCUCCUAGUACGAGAGGACCGGAGUGGACGAACCUCUGGUGUUCCGGUUGUCACGCCAGUGGCAUUGCCGGGUAGCUAUGUUCGGAAAAGAUAACCGCUGAAAGCAUCUAAGCGGGAAACUUGCCUCAAGAUGAGAUCUCACUGGAACCUUGAGUUCCCUAAAGGGCCGUCGAAGACUACGACGUUGAUAGGUUGGGUGUGUAAGCGCUGUGAGGCGUUGAGCUAACCAAUACUAAUUGCCCGUGAGGCUUGACCA